UGCACAGAUUUUAUUUAUUGCACUCAACAACAUACAAAAGUUCUCAAUGAUCAGAGAUCAUGUCUAAAGUAACGAAUCUCAGUGCUGGAAUAUCUGGCGGCUCCAACCUAACAGAAUAAAACACUGAGGAACAACACACUACAAACACAGAUCUUCCAUGUGAGAACUAAAUCAGGGUUUUAUUUGGUGCUCUGACCUGAACUGCUAACAGAGGCAGGAUUUAUGACUGGUUGGUUGGUAGUGGGGACUCCUUGGUGGUCUUCCUAUCUCAGUAGGUACUUAAUAAAGGACUACACUAGACAUACGACAGGUGACUAAACCUGGGAUACUUAGCAGCACCAGCAACCAGCCUGUACAACUCAACAGUCUCUACUCCUCUACUCCUUAAUUUGAAAUGUAAAAAAUGUUGAGUGGCUGAAAUCAAAGAGCAGAACUAUACCGAACAAAAAUAUAAACGCAACAUGUUAAGUGUUGGUCUCAUGUUUCAUGAGCUAAAAUAAAAGAUCUCAGAAAUGUUCCAUACACACAAAAAGCGUAUUUCUCUCAAAUUUUGUAAACAAAUUUGAUGACAUCCCUAUUAGUGAGCAUUUCUGCUUUGCGAAGAUAAUCCAUCCACCUAACAGGUGUGGCAUAUCAAGAAGCUGAUUAAACAGCACGAUCAUUAGACAUGUGCACCUUGUGCUGGCGACAAUAAAAGGCCACUGUAAAAUGUGCAGUUUUGUCACACAACACAAUGCCACAGAUGUCUCAAGUUUUGAGGGAGCGUGCAAUUGGCAUGCUGACUGCAGGAAUGUCCACCAGAGCUGUUGCCAGAGAAUUGAAUGUUAAUUUCUCUACCAUAAGCCACCUCUAUCGUCCCUUUAGAGAAUUUGGCAGUACAUCCAACCGGCCUCACAACCGCAGAGCACGUGUAACCCCGCCAGCCCAGGAUCUCCACAUCCGGCUUCUUCACCUGUAGGAUCGUCUGAGACCAGCCACCCAGACAACUGAUGAAACUGAGGAGUACUCCUGUCUGUAAUAAAUCCCUUUUGUGGGGAAAAGCAUAUACUGAUUGGCUGGGCCUGGCUGCCCAGUCGGUGGGCCAGACUGCCAAGUGGUUGGGCCUAUGCCCCCCAGGCCCACACAUGGCUGUGCCCCUGCCCAGUCAUGUGAAAUCCAUUGAUUAGGGCCUAAUGAAUUUAUUUCCAUUUCCUUAUAUAAACUGUAACUCAGUACAUUCUUUGAAAUUGUUGCAUGUUGCAUUUAUGUUUUCGUUCAGUGCAAUAGUUCGAUCACAUAAAGAAUGUAUUCUGCAGUCCUUUCAUUUGGCAAAAAGUUUGAGUCAUUUGAUCUGAUCUGAAAUCUAAAUGAUUUCAGGAAAUCAUAUCCACCCUGUAAAUAAAUACCUAUACGUUUUUGAGAAUAUACUAUUUUGCAGAGCAAACCAUUAAGUAUUGUAAUCACAAGCACUUGACAAAAGAAAUAUAUAAAAUCUGUUGGAAAUAAUAAAUAAAGAUUCUAAAUCAAGGCGGUUCAGUGCUAAAAAGGAUCUUAGCUGGCUUAAAUAGAAUAGUGGCUUAGAAAGUGAUACAAUUCAAUAUAACCUUAUUCUCCUUUCAUCAGAUAUAGGUGGACUGUGCUGAUCUGAAGUGUCAGUCUUAUUUAGUAUCACUUUCCAAAGUGACAAAAAUAUACUUCAUUUUUCAGUUACAGUAUAUGAUAUUCUCACAAAUAUCAUGGGAAGAAUAUGUUAUUUAGUGCUUAUAUCAAAAACACCACAAAUCUAGUCUGUCUGACAUAAAUGUUUUGUAAAACUAUGUAAAAUAUUUAGUAAACAUUUAGAAACAGUAAAAAGUAUGGUCUUGUAGACCUAAUAAUCAUUGUACAGUAAUACAAACAAUGAUCGUCCCUAAACGUAGUGAACUAUUACCACAGACCCGUACGCAUGAUAUCAAAGGUUGUGACACUCAUAGAAACAUGUCGUCAAUAGUAAUAACACUUCUAAAAAUGCUAAAAUCGUAGAUUUCACGUUAGCCUAUUAUUUACUUAGUUUGUAACAGUACAUGUUCAAAAGCAGUGAGGCAAAAAAUUAUUAAUGAAUCCUCUUUGGAGGAACUCGGUCAGUCACUUUACAAAUUCUAGUCACAUAAUCUGCAUCUCUUACGAAUACUUCUUCUAUUAUAAGUCUAUGACACGUUAACAGCGUUCAUUUUUCUUAUUGCUUCGUUCAUAGUACCUUACUGACAGUUCUAUGCUCCACUGUACCCCAGCACUGCUACACAUUUGCACAAAUGUACACACUGUAUCACCACACAACAAGGUAAUGUCAGCUAGGGCAUACAUUGAAAACAAACACUGGGCGUUCCAAACGUAAGGUCAAGAAACGAGGAUUAGUCUACUGUAUUAUUUUUCCAUUGGUCACUGCUGAACAUUAGGUGUUGCUAAGUAUGAAAACAACAAACUUCGGAAGAAAAAGGUUUGUGCUAUAGAAAAGACUGCUGUGUGUGUGUGUGUGUGCGUGUGUGUGCGCGUGUGUGUGUAUGUGAGUAGGUUCUUCUAUCCUUGAGGGGACCUUAAAAUCCCCAAGAGUCACCACAAGUGAAACAAGGAAAGUUGUCCCUCGUGGGGACAUUUCCCACGUCCCCACGAGGACAAAGGUUAUUUUAAGUUUAGGAUUUAGGUUUAGGGUUACCAUUAAGGUUAGAAUUAGGGUAAGGGGUUAGUGGUUUAUGGUUAGGAGUUAGGGAAAAUAGUGUUUUGAAUGGAAAUGCAUUUUAGGUCCCCACAAGGAUAGUAAAACGUGUAUUUGUGUACAAUGUCACCCAAGGAUAUCCUGUUUGUGGUACAUCACAUGUUAACUGUAGCACGAUGUAGCUGAGGCUGUUUUUUUUGGCUUUAGGACAGAGUAUCUCAGGGAGACAGAGGACUUCAAGACGUGGCAGCUGACAGGAAGGCAAAUCAGGGUUGACCUUCGACCCCAGCGUCAGCCUCACAUCUGCCCAAAGAAGAUGGAGCAGAGCAGGAAGACGGCAUAGAGUAAUAUCAGCCCCAGGC
This 3033-nucleotide long non-coding RNA is filed under the name Salmo salar (Atlantic salmon). RNAcentral's name for it is "lncRNA (ENSSSAG00000006486.2)". The record is from RNAcentral. Lineage: Eukaryota; Metazoa; Chordata; Actinopteri; Salmoniformes; Salmonidae.